Molecule: ribosomal RNA, 569 nt
Filed under: Simulium siamense
Lineage: Eukaryota; Metazoa; Arthropoda; Insecta; Diptera; Simuliidae
Also listed under: 1 other name
Description: SSU rRNA
Rfam family: Eukaryotic small subunit ribosomal RNA
Source: RNAcentral
CGUUACGAACGUGACUCAAUACAUUAAAUAGAUUCCUAUCAGAUAAGUAAACUGUUGAUGCUUGCUUAUGGCUUGCUUUCGGGUAGGUCAUUGGGUAAGUGGAAGUUUACCUGAUAGUUUGUCAACUGUCAAAGGUUGGCUUUGAUCUGCUUAAUGAGACAAAUUGUGUUUAGCAAAAUGAGAUUGAGCAAUAACAGGUCCGUGAUGCCCUUAGAUGUCCUGGGUUGCACGCGCGCUACAAUGAGACCAUCAACGUGAUACCUGAUCUGAAAGGAUUGGGAAAUCACUUAAAUGUGCUCUUAGUUGGGAUUGUGGAUUGUAAUUAUUCACAUGAACCUGGAAUUCCCAGUAAAUGCUAGUCAUCAGCUAGCGUUGACUAAGUCCCUGCCCUUUGUACACACCGCCCGUCGCUAUUACCGAUUGGUUAUUUAGUGAGGUCUCCGGAGGUAAUCGCCGAAGAUGCUUAGGUAUCAUUAGGUUGUUUUGCCAAAGUUGACCGAACUUGAUGAUUGAGAGGAAAUAAAAGUCGUAACAAGGUUUCCGUAGGUGAACCUGCGGAAGGAUCAUUA